Molecule: ribosomal RNA, 437 nt
Filed under: uncultured bacterium
Lineage: Bacteria
Description: partial 16S ribosomal RNA
Rfam family: Bacterial small subunit ribosomal RNA
Source: RNAcentral
AGAGUUUGAUCAUGGCUCASAACSAACGCUGGCGGCMGGCUUAACACAUGCAAGUCSAACSCCCCGCAAGGGGAGUGGCMGACSGGUGAGUAACGCGUGGGAAUCUACCGUACCCUACGGAAUAACSCAUGGAAACSUGUGCUAAUACCGUAUACGCCCUACGGGGGAAAGAUUUAUCGGGGUAUGAUGAGCCCGCSUUGGAUUAGCUAGUUGGUGGGGUAAAGGCCUACCMAGGCGACGAUCCMUAGCUGGUCUGAGAGGAUGAUCAGCCMCAUUGGGACUGAGACACGGCCCAAACUCCUACSGGAGGCAGCMGUGGGGAAUAUUGGACAAUGGGCGCMAGCCUGAUCCAGCCAUGCCGCGUGAGUGAUGAAGGUCUUAGGAUUGUAAAGCUCUUUCMCCSGAGAAGAUAAUGACGGUAUCCGGAGAAGAAGCCC